GCUUUUAAAGGAAAAUAGUCUUCCCUUGGACUUAGGCUCCAAUAUCUCUUAGUGCAAAUCUCAGUAAAAGCC
This 72-nucleotide transfer RNA is filed under the name Synapturanus sp. MHNL 19901. Its description in RNAcentral is "tRNA-Leu". The record is from RNAcentral. Lineage: Eukaryota; Metazoa; Chordata; Amphibia; Anura; Microhylidae.